CCCUAAUCGUGCCUGGAAGUUUUAUUGGUGAAUUUUGGCCGUCAGCUGGCCGCCAAUAAAUUCGAAUAAAGUGGCGGUUUUACCCACUUACGGAGGGUUUUUUGCCCUCAAUAAAUUGUGUUUUUCUUGUAGUGUUUUUUGUUAGAAAUGUACCAUUUUCUAUUCUUUUUAUUGGUUUAUCUUUAUAAUUUUUCACGUUAAUAGUUUUUAAUAAUAAACUUUUUUAUUUCCCAUAAAAUGUCAUUAAUUUCUAAAAAAGUCAAUUAUAAUUUUUGUUGUUUUUUUUUAUAUUUUCAAUAAACUUUUGAUAAACACAGAGGCUUAAAUGACACACUGCUCCAUGCACCAUUAUAAUCUUAUUUACAGUAAAAUGGCAACAACUUCUAAAAAACUCAAUUAUAAUCUUUGUUGUUUC
RNAcentral lists this long non-coding RNA (415 nucleotides) under Trifolium pratense (red clover). RNAcentral's name for it is "long non-coding RNA (TPRA_LNC013441)". The record is from RNAcentral. Lineage: Eukaryota; Viridiplantae; Streptophyta; Magnoliopsida; Fabales; Fabaceae.